Molecule: ribosomal RNA, 487 nt
Filed under: Lodderomyces parapsilosis
Lineage: Eukaryota; Fungi; Ascomycota; Pichiomycetes; Serinales; Debaryomycetaceae
Description: eukaryotic LSU rRNA
Rfam family: 5.8S ribosomal RNA (bases 140-293)
Source: RNAcentral
AGUGCUUACUGCAUUUUUUCUUACACAUGUGUUUUUCUUUUUUUGAAAACUUUGCUUUGAUAGGCCUUCUAUAUGGGGCCUGCCAGAGAUUAAACUCAACCAAAUUUUAUUUAAUGUCAACCGAUUAUUUAAUAGUCAAAACUUUCAACAACGGAUCUCUUGGUUCUCGCAUCGAUGAAGAACGCAGCGAAAUGCGAUAAGUAAUAUGAAUUGCAGAUAUUCGUGAAUCAUCGAAUCUUUGAACGCACAUUGCGCCCUUUGGUAUUCCAAAGGGCAUGCCUGUUUGAGCGUCAUUUCUCCCUCAAACCCUCGGGUUUGGUGUUGAGCGAUACGCUGGGUUUGCUUGAAAGAAAGGCGGAGUAUAAACUAAUGGAUAGGUUUUUUCCACUCAUUGGUACAAACUCCAAAACUUCUUCCAAAUUCGACCUCAAAUCAGGUAGGACUACCCGCUGAACUUAAGCAUAUCAAUAAGCGGAGGGAAAAGAAA